RNAcentral lists this transfer RNA (72 nucleotides) under Symplocastrum torsivum CPER-KK1. RNAcentral's name for it is "Phormidiaceae cyanobacterium CPER-KK1 tRNA". It matches the Rfam family "tRNA". Rfam says of the family: Transfer RNA (tRNA) molecules are approximately 80 nucleotides in length. Their secondary structure includes four short double-helical elements and three loops (D, anti-codon, and T loops). Lineage: Bacteria; Bacillati; Cyanobacteriota; Cyanophyceae; Oscillatoriales; Microcoleaceae. The record is from Rfam by way of RNAcentral. RNAcentral also lists the same sequence under 1 other name.
GCAGAUGUGGUGUAAGUGGUAACACAAGGGCGUGGUAAGUCCUUGAUGUGGGUUCAAUCCCCGCCGUCUGCC